Long non-coding RNA from Ctenopharyngodon idella (grass carp), 2115 nucleotides. RefSeq lists it as uncharacterized. The record is from RefSeq and is a predicted model, not a curated record. Lineage: Eukaryota; Metazoa; Chordata; Actinopteri; Cypriniformes; Xenocyprididae. The transcript is spliced from 4 exons.
GGUGGAGAGUUUGGGGAGUGGCUACUGCAGCAGGUGGAGAGUUUGGGGUGUGGCUACUGUAGCAGGUGGAGAGUUUGGGGAGUGGCUACUGUAGCAGGUUGAGAGUUUGGGGCGUGGCUACUGUAGCAGGUGGAGAGCUUGGGGAGUGGCUACUGUAGCAGGUGGAGAGUUUGGGGUGUGGCUACUGUAGCAGUUUGAGAGUUUGGGGAGUGGCUACUGUAGCAGGUGGAGAGUUUGGGGAGUGGCUACUGUAGCAGGCUGAGAGUUUGGGGUGUGGCUACUGUAGCAGUUUGAGAGUUUGGGGAGUGGCUACUGUAGCAGGUGGAGAGUUUGGGGAGUGGCUACUGCAGCAGGUGGAGAGUUUGGGGUGUGGCUACUGUAGCAGGUGGAGAGUUUGGGGAGUGGCUACUGCAGCAGGUGGAGAGUUUGGGGAGUGGCUACUGUAGCAGGUGGAGAAUUUGGGGUGUGGCUACUGUAGCAGGUGGAGAGUUUGGGGCGUGGCUACUGUAGCAGGUGGAGAGCUUGGGGAGUGGCUACUGUAGCAGGUGGAGAGUUUGGGGAGUGGCUACUGCAGCAGGUGGAGAGUUUGGGGAGUGGCUACUGUAGCAGGUGGAGAAUUUGGGGUGUGGCUACUGUAGCAGGUUGAGAGUUUGGGGCGUGGCUACUGUAGCAGGUGGAGAGCUUGGGGAGUGGCUACUGUAGCAGGUGGAGAGUUUGGGGUGUGGCUACUGUAGCAGUUUGAGAGUUUGGGGAGUGGCUACUGUAGCAGGUGGAGAGUUUGGGGAGUGGCUACUGUAGCAGGCUGAGAGUUUGGGGUGUGGCUACUGUAGCAGUUUGAGAGUUUGGGGAGUGGCUACUGUAGCAGGUGGAGAGUUUGGGGAGUGGCUACUGUAGCAGGCUGAGAGUUUGGGGUGUGGCUACUGUAGCAGGUGGAGAGUUUGGGGAGUGGCUACUGCAGCAGGUAGAGAGUUUGGGGAGUGGCUACUGUAGCAGGUGGAGAGUUUGGGGAGUGGCUACUGUAGCAGGUGGAGAGUUUGGGGAGUGGCUACUGUAGCAGGCUGAGAAUUUGGGGUGUGGCUACUGUAGCAGGUGGAGAGCUUGGGGAGUGGCUACUGUAGCAGGUUGAGAGUUUGGGGCGUGGCUACUGUAGCAGGUGGAGAGCUUGGGGAGUGGCUACUGUAGCAGGUGGAGAGUUUGGGGAGUGGCUACUGUAGCAGGCUGAGAGUUUGGGGUGUGGCUACUGUAGCAGUUUGAGAGUUUGGGGAGUGGCUACUGUAGCAGGUGGAGAGUUUGGGGAGUGGCUACUGCAGCAGGUGGAGAGUUUGGGGUGUGGCUACUGCAGCAGGUGGAGAGUUUGGGGAGUGGCUACUGUAGCAGGUGAAGAGUUUGGGGAAUGGCUACUGUAGCAGGUGGAGAUUUUGGGGAGUGGCUACUGUAGCAGGUGGAGAGAUUGGGGAGUGGCUACUGUAGCAGGUGGAGAGAUUGGGGAGUGGCUACUGUAGCAGGUGGAGAGUUUGGGGAGUGGCUACUGAGAAUUUGGGGUGUGGCUUCUGUAGCAGGUGGCAAGUUUGGGGCGUGGCUACUGAGAAUUUGGGGUGUGGCUUCUGUAGCAGGUUGAGCCAGAGGGUGUUUAGCCACUGUGGGAUCAUGACUGUAGACAAUCAGCUUCAGUUAUAGAAGUGAAAGCCAAAAUUCACCAGCUUGAUUAAACAGCACAUGAACACGUCAAAGCGAAUGGGACAAUGCGAUGAAACGCUCUACAAUGAACGCUUCAAUACUAUACAGCAUCAUCAUGCAUACAUUCAGAAAGACAAAUGAUCCAGUCAAUAAUGUUUACAGUAUAGACAGACAAAGGUCACCAUCAGAUUUAACUCUCUGAGGGACAGAUAGUAGAAUUGGCCAAUUAUUAUAGCUAUGAGUAUCAGGAAGGGCCAUGUAUUUUCCAUUGAAUGAUUGUUGGGCAAGUUUUCAGAAAAACUGUCUGAAAUGAUUAUUUUUGUGAUUAUGUUUGGUGAUGAUAGUGGUGCAUAUAUUACAUACCUCUUCUACACUAAUUCUAAAGUCAUUGAGAUUAACUACUAAAACUCAUUCUACUUCCAUUCUGUUCUCCCCACG